Cinara cedri is the source of this 273-nucleotide non-coding RNA. NCBI's taxonomy places the organism in Eukaryota, Metazoa, Arthropoda, Insecta, Hemiptera, Aphididae. The record is from the annotation of a GenBank genome assembly.
GCAAGAAGUAACUUAGAUUUUUUACAUUAAAUGUUGUGAAGUAAUUUUAAUGAGUACCUGUGGUAAUAACAACAUUGAUUUUUCAAAUAAAAACCUACACGUUUUGAUAACUACGCUAAUUUAUUUUUGUGAAAAUUAUGAUGUAUUAAAAUCGACAUAUUUCUGAGUUGAAAUCUGUUUUGAAUACUAAGAAUAAUAGUCUUUUAGGGUGAUUAAAUACCAAUUGUUUCAAGCAUAUAAAUAAUUUCUUGUUUUGAAUUGUGCAGUUAUUAU